RNAcentral lists this unclassified non-coding RNA (345 nucleotides) under soil metagenome. Its description in RNAcentral is "partial contains 5.8S ribosomal RNA, internal transcribed spacer 2, and large subunit ribosomal RNA". The stretch from base 1 to 120 matches the Rfam family "5.8S ribosomal RNA", at positions 35 to 154 of the family's 154-position model. The record is from RNAcentral.
GAUGAAGAACGCAGCGAAAUGCGAUACGUAAUGUGAAUUGCAGAAUUCAGUGAAUCAUCGAGUCUUUGAACGCACAUUACGCCCCCUGGUAUUCCGGGGGGCAUGCCUGUCCGAGCGUCAUUGCUGCCCUCAAGCACGGCUUGUGUGUUGGGCCUCCGUCCUCCUCCCGGGGGACGGGCCCGAAAGGCAGCGGCGGCACCGCGUCCGGUCCUCGAGCGUAUGGGGCUUCGUCACCCGCUCUUGUAGGCCCGGCCGGCGCUUGCCGACACAUCAAUCUUUUUUCCAGGUUGACCUCGGAUCAGGUAGGGAUACCCGCUGAACUUAAGCAUAUCAAUAAGCGGAGGA